CGUUAAUAUUUUUGUAAUCGUACAGAAUAAGCGACAAUACUCGUACAACAACAGCAAUAAUAAUAAUAAUGGCGAGUAACAAGUACGUUAUUAUCAAUUCAUUUCUGUGGCGCGUAUAACCGAGACGCGCACAACGCAAAAACACACAAAACGAACUGGCGCAGUACGACCCAUAAUGUACAGAUGGUAAUAAUAUUGUUGCAAAUACUGCAAAUAAUAUAAUAUUCAUUAUAUCGGACGCAAAACUUCGCGUUAUAACUCGAUAUAAAUAAUACGCGGUUGUUUAUUUUCGUUUCACCCGCGUUAUUUUAUUCUUCAUUUAACUUUGCGAUAAUAUUGUAUAAUAUUUUAUGACGAAAACGAACCCGCGGUGCCUUCGAAUAUAAACGUAAGAAAUAA
Cinara cedri is the source of this 399-nucleotide non-coding RNA. The record is from the annotation of a GenBank genome assembly. NCBI's taxonomy places the organism in Eukaryota, Metazoa, Arthropoda, Insecta, Hemiptera, Aphididae.